This 502-nucleotide ribosomal RNA is filed under the name uncultured bacterium. RNAcentral's name for it is "partial 16S ribosomal RNA". It matches the Rfam family "Bacterial small subunit ribosomal RNA", at positions 30 to 523 of the family's 1533-position model. The record is from RNAcentral.
AUUGAACGCUGGCGGCAUGCCUUACACAUGCAAGUCGAACGGCAGCACGGGAGCAAUCCUGGUGGCGAGUGGCGAACGGGUGAGUAAUAUAUCGGAACGUGCCCAGUCGUGGGGGAUAACGCAGCGAAAGCUGUGCUAAUACCGCACACGAUCUAUGGAUGAAAGCGGGGGACUCGCAAGGGCCUCGCGCGAUUGGAGCGGCUGAUAUCAGAUUAGGUAGUUGGUGGGGUAAAGGCCUACCAAGCCUGCGAUCUGUAGCUGGUCUGAGAGGACGACCAGCCACACUGGAACUGAGACACGGUCCAGACUCCUACGGGAGGCAGCAGUGGGGAAUUUCGGACAAUGGGCGCAAGCCUGAUCCAGCAAUGCCGCGUGCAGGAUGAAGGCCUUCGGGUUGUAAACUGCUUUUGUACGGAACGAAAAGGCUCUGGUGAAUACCUGGAGUUGAUGACGGUACCGUAAGAAUAAGCACCGGCUAACUACGUGCCAGCCGCCGCAGUAA